GAUGAACGCUGUCUACAGGCUUAACACAUGCAAGUCGAGGGGAAACGCCGGGGAAGCUUGCUUCCCCGGGCUUCGACCGGCGCACGGGUGAGUAACGCGUAUCCAACCUGCCUCUGACUGAGGGAUAACCCGUCGAAAGUCGGCCUAAUACCUCAUGGCAUCGUCUUCGGGCAUCCAACGACGAUUAAAGGUUUCAUCGGUCAGGGAUGGGGAUGCGUCUUGUUAGCUUGUUGGCGGGGUAACGGCCCACCAAGGCUACGAUCAGUAGGGGCUCUGAGAGGAAGGGCCUCAACAUUGGAACUGAGACAUGGUCCCAGCUCCUACGGGAGGAAGCAGUGAGGAAUAAUGGUCAAGGAGCGGGAGCCUGAACCAGCCAAGUAGAGUGCAGGAUGACGGGCCUAUGGGUUGUAAACUGCUUUUAUGAGGGGAUAAAGUGAGGGACGUGUCGUUCAUUGCAGGUACCGCAUGAAUAAGGACCGGCUAAUUCCGU
This 490-nucleotide ribosomal RNA is filed under the name uncultured bacterium. RNAcentral's name for it is "partial 16S ribosomal RNA". It matches the Rfam family "Bacterial small subunit ribosomal RNA", at positions 28 to 506 of the family's 1533-position model. The record is from RNAcentral.